Molecule: non-coding RNA, 3890 nt
Organism: Paramuricea clavata
Lineage: Eukaryota; Metazoa; Cnidaria; Anthozoa; Malacalcyonacea; Plexauridae
Source: the annotation of a GenBank genome assembly
UGAAGUUUUGCCAGACGAUAAGCAUGGAAGACAUUGGAAGUGUUGUAGUUGAAAUAUUUUGUAAAAGCACAGGUAAAAGCUUCAAUCGAGACGUUAUCGAAAUGGAAUGACUGUGCUGUGUCAUCAGAAAGGUCUGUAUUAAUAUAUCGUACUUUUAAUCGUCUAUGAAGUUACUACAUGCUCUCGUUUUGAAACGCAUAUUAAAUAUUUUGAAUUCCCUUCGCCUUCGGCGAGAUUGAGCACUUCGGUUUUCGCUUAUUCACUUUAUUUCUUUGGUAAUUUUGUCAAAUUUUAUUAAUAAUGUUUCGAAAUACCCCGUACUUUGACUUUUGUGACUAAUGUGCUUUUUAUCUUCAAUUUUAGGGCGAAAAUUUGACGAGAAAGUUGAUUCAAUACGGCGACUGGUCGAAGCGCGUGGUGAGUAUGGCUGUCUUUAUUCAUCAACAUCAACUGAAGAUAAAAUGAGUUCUUUGUCGCUUUUUAAGUCUUCCGUAUCAAACUACAACGUGGUAUAUCAUUGUUAAAGCUUUAUUGAACAUUUUAAGUUAAGUUUAGUUUAAUUUUGGUCAAAAUUUUGUCCGUAAUGAGCGAAACUCCUGGAUGCAUUUCAUGUUCAAUUUGAUAUGCAUGACCGGAGUUGGCCUAUAUGAGUCUUGUUGUUGUAAGCUUUUUAAGUCUGUCUUACCAAAACCAGUUACAUGUUGUAAUGUUUUGCAAGCUUUCUAAACACUGUGAGUUAGGUUUAGUUCAUGUAUCAUCAUCUGACUUAGACCUGUUUCAAACGUCGCCGCUUCUCGUGUACGUACUAGGGAACUUUAGAUUUGACUACGAGUACGACUACGAGUACGAGAUUCGUCAAGCUAAACGCAUGCUGUAUGCUUACGCCAUCCCGUACUGACGCUAAAAAGUCGUAGCCGUCGCCCAUCUGAGUACGAAAUUGUGGAGAAACCUCGUAGUCCUCACGACGACUUUUCAAAAAAAACAAAGAAAGUUGACUUUUUUUGGUUUUCCAAAAAUAAUUUGUAGCAUUUACAUAGCGUUUAUCCGGCGCAAAUAAUAUAUUAGUGCUAAAUAUCUGGCCUGUUUUUAAUGUUAUGACUUAUUUACACGUUUUGUAGGGGAUUUUAGUCGGCAGGAGAUUUACUUUAUGAAACUUUUUCUCUAGUUGUUGGUUUACUGUUAUAAAAGCAACAUUUGAAUGGAAACGAAAACGACUACGGUAAUUUCCUCGCACGCGAUCAAAUCUCGUACUCGUAGUCGUACUCGUAGUCAAAUCUAAAGCUCCCUACUAAACCAGGGACGCCGGAACGAUGUGAAGGCAAGGGGGGCAGAUUUUCGUGAAAGGGCACUUUUGAAUUGAUAUAUACUAAGAGAUGUUUGCAAAACAUCGGGAGUUGAACUUCGCCUAAUCAUGUUUUCUAUGUAUUGGAUGAUAGGGGUGUGAGAGGAUUCUCCGCCAGGCGAUUGUGCUAUUCUUGAAGCUCGAUGACUGCAUUUCUUGCGUUUUCUGAAGCAAAUUCGUAAAAUAAUUGCACUAACAUUUCUGACAAUUCGCUAUUUCGCUAAAGCAAUUCUUUAAAUUGAAAGGGCACCUUUGCCACCCUUGCCCCUCCUGGUAAAGGGCAACGGGGCUGGCUGCCCCUCCUGCCCCCCAGUUCCGGCGUCCCUGUGCUAAACGCAUUAGAAACAAUAAUAAUACGGCAUUUCAGCUCAUCUAUUGUUUUUAAUUGGUUCGUCACAUGGGAAGCGCGACGUUUGAAACAUGCCUUAGUAUUUGUAUUUAAAAUUUAUUUAGACACGGUGACCAUUCAGCAAGGGGACAACUUGCAUGUUAGACUAAAUUUUAAUCUAAGUAAAAGAGAAGGGAAUAAAACACAACAGUUAAAAAGAAAAUAAUGAAAUUAGUAAAAUUGCAAAAUUUGGUUGCAAAAUGUUGUAGAAACAGAAAAUAUAGCCUAGCCUUGCGAAGUUUGCAUAUUCUGAGUAUAUUUGUAUUACGUGCUGAAAUUGUUACCAUGCAUUUUCGGCUAAAAUGAAAUGGUAAUAAUUUCCGCACGUAAUACGAAAAUAUCGAGAAUAUGCAAACUUCGCAAGGCUAUAUUUUCUGUAUUCUACAACAUUUCGUAACCAAAUUACUGAUUUUAAUAAGUUCUUUACGGGAAUUUACUUUUUUGCCUAAAUCAAAAAUUAGUCUAACAUGCAAGUUGUCUAAAGUAGCUAAAUUAGUCCCUCAUGUAUGUCUCCUAUUUCUAAUUUCAGAAUCUUGUUUGCACGGUUAUGGGUAAAUCUACUUCGCACGAUCCACGGUCACCGCUGAAAGUACGUCGAGGCUACAUGGGUUAAAGAGAUGUCUGACUCAAGGUUGGGAAAUUUGCCUGCUAGCAGGCAGUAGUCUGCUUGCUUGCAGGCAGUGUGAGCCUGCUAACUGGCAAUAGUUAGCCUGCUAACGGGCAGUGUAUCGCUAAGAUUCGGGUGUGUUCGUUUCUGGGUUGAAGUUUUUCUCCUGGCGGUCUGUAGUCAGUACAUUUGGACACAAGGUUGACUUUCCAUGCAGACGCUUGCAAAAACAUCGAGAUAUUUCACCUUGAAAUCGUGUGAAUUUCGGCACUGACAUCUGCUAUCGAAAGUCGAUCUUAAAGAACUUAACAUAUGAGCUUUCCGUCACAUGGUUAAUGCAUGCAUUCGGUUCGGUUAUUGGUGGGUUUCAGUAAGUGUUGCAGCCCAACCUUACAAAUGUUGAUAUAUAUAUAUAAAGAGCAAUCUAUUUUGCUUCAAAUGCAAGACUACAACAUAAAGAAACUGAAAAAAGUGAAGAAUAUAUUUCACUCCAGUAACUCAUAUUGAUACCCACCAUGCAUGUAUUCGGUCUAUUGUCGCAGUCUGUUGGAGCCAUUGUUCUCCUAGCUCUUUGUGCAAGUGUACUGCUUAGGGACCGUUCAUUAUUUACACCCGGGGUUGAUACCGAAGAGAUAUGGGUUGGGGAAUCAAGUUUUUGACUGGCUCAUGGGUUGGGUAAAAUAAUUUAUGGCUGUCUGUCAGCUAUAAAAUAAAACCAAAAUUACCAUGCAUUAGAAAAUAUGAAAAAAAUGUGUACAAUACAUUCUGUACCAUAACAGACCAUCGGUGAUUGAGGAAGGAAUAUAUCAUUGAUCAGCAGGAACGUGAUUGCUUUAGCACACUCAGUGAGUUUGAAUGUGAAUGAGCUUUUAGAAUUUAGGCAACUUGAUUUCUGUCACCAUAAUCUUGUGUGUUUAAUUAUUAUGAAGUACAGUAACACAUGGGUUGGGUAAACAUUAUUUUGACCAAUGUCGAGGUUGGGUAAAUAAAAAAAUUACAGUGUUUUUCGCUUCUCUUUGGUACCAACCCCAGGUAUAAAUAAUGAACGGUCCCUUAGGCAUCUGUGCUUGAACGCAGAAUUAAUAGGCAGACAAGUAAAACCUUGCCAGAUUUAAAAUUUUGGUUGUACCUAUAUGUUGCGUGCUCGAAUAAUUGUCAUGAAAUGGAUUGGGCUUCAGGCAGGAUUAAUCUAACCAUAUAUUCCUUAACUUUAACACGUCACAUGACUUAUUGAUUCGUCGACGUAAUAUAUGUGCGUGCAUUUUAUGUGAUUUGAAAAGCUGGCAUAGUUUUUCUUGGGUAGGAUAAUGUAAGCUGGGUGCAAAUGGUAUCCAUAGCUUAGAGGGUACAAAUGGUACCUGUAAGAAGAUUGGUGGAUAUCGUGGUGGAUUACUUUCCAUUGGGAAAAGAUUUUUCUUGGUUUUCUUCGGGUACUUCGGUUGCCUCCCACAGACAGAGUUGACUGGCGAAUGUUUGCUUAGGGAUGUAAUAACACAUGUGUUGUAAAGAUAAAUAGUCUAGGCUUUACUAAAGAUAUUAAACUGACUUGGUAC